This 265-nucleotide long non-coding RNA is filed under the name Ananas comosus (pineapple). Its description in RNAcentral is "long non-coding RNA (ACOM_LNC026878)". Lineage: Eukaryota; Viridiplantae; Streptophyta; Magnoliopsida; Poales; Bromeliaceae. The record is from RNAcentral.
UCACAUCUAAUUAUUGAUUGUAAAUUUAUGAUUCUGUUAGGAUUUGGUUAGAUUUGUAAUUGAUUUUUUAGUUGGAUAAGAAUUAAUAUUUAAAUAUGUUGGAGAUAAAUUAAGAUUUAAAUAUUAAUUAGAAUAUGAAUCUAACUAGAUUAGGAUAAAUAUUUAAAUCUAUUGGAGAUAAAUAAAAUAUAGAUUUAAAUAUUAAUUGGAGUAGGAAUCCUAAUUGGACUAGGAUUCGCGUACGUUUUAGAGGCUGCAUUAUAAA